This 497-nucleotide ribosomal RNA is filed under the name uncultured bacterium. RNAcentral describes it as "SSU rRNA". It matches the Rfam family "Bacterial small subunit ribosomal RNA", at positions 26 to 521 of the family's 1533-position model. The record is from RNAcentral.
AGGAUUAACGCUAGCGGCAGGCCUAAUACAUGCAAGUCGAGGGGUAACAGGGUAGCAAUACUGCUGACGACCGGCGCACGGGUGAGUAACACGUAUGUAACCUACCUAUAACUGGGGAAUAGCCUUCCGAAAGGAAGAUUAACACCGCAUAACAUCACGAUUCGGCAUCGUUUCGUGAUCAAACCUCCGGGGGUUAUAGAUGGACAUGCGUAACAUUAGCUAGUUGGUGAGGUAACGGCUCACCAAGGCGACGAUGUUUAGGGGGUCUGAGAGGAUGAUCCCCCACACUGGUACUGAGACACGGACCAGACUCCUACGGGAGGCAGCAGUAAGGAAUAUUGGACAAUGGGGGCAACCCUGAUCCAGCCAUGCCGCGUGAAGGAUGAAGGCGCUCUGCGUCGUAAACUUCUUUUACUCGAGAAAAAUUGUUGGGUUUCUACCCGACUUGAUUGUACCGUAGAGAAUAAGGACCGGCUAACUUCGCGCAGCAGCGCGGU